GAUGAAGAACGCAGCGAAAUGCGAAAAGUAAUGUGAAUUGCAGAAUUCAGUGAACCAUCGAAUCUUUGAACGCACAUUGCGCCCGCUGGAACUCCGGCGGGCACGCCUGUCCGAGCGUCAUUUCAACCCUCAGGCCCCCCUUCGCGGGCGGGCCUGGUGUUGGGGCCCGGCCGCUACCCUGCGGCCGUCCCCUAAAUUCAGUGGCGGCCUCGCCGUGAUCCCUUGCGUAGUAAUGCACCUCGCACCGGAGAGCGCCGUGGCCACGCCGUAAGACCCCCAAUUUUCAAUGGUUGACCUCGGAUCAGGUGGGAAUACCCGCUGAACUUAAGCAUAUCAAUAAGCGGAGGA
This 348-nucleotide unclassified non-coding RNA is filed under the name soil metagenome. Its description in RNAcentral is "partial contains 5.8S ribosomal RNA, internal transcribed spacer 2, and large subunit ribosomal RNA". The stretch from base 1 to 120 matches the Rfam family "5.8S ribosomal RNA", at positions 35 to 154 of the family's 154-position model. The record is from RNAcentral.